Drosophila santomea is the source of this 1103-nucleotide long non-coding RNA. RefSeq lists it as uncharacterized. The transcript has 2 exons. The record is from RefSeq and is a predicted model, not a curated record. NCBI's taxonomy places the organism in Eukaryota, Metazoa, Arthropoda, Insecta, Diptera, Drosophilidae.
AGGUAAAAUCGUUGAACCUAGUUCUUUUUUUCCUGUGUCCUAAAACGAAGUCGCCUGGUGUUUAAUGAAAGAAAAAAAGUGACAUUUUCAGUGAUUUCGAAAAAAAGCCGAUCACACAGCCACACAGCUAUCCACUUGGGCCGGAAAAGAGAGAGUGAGAACCCAAGAUCGGGAUCUGGACUUGCAACCUGAGUGCGCAGUGCGCACUUUCAUUUUCAGCUACCCGCCGCAUAAUUAAUUGCGACCGAAAGUGGACGACGGUUUUUCGUGGCGGCAGAAAGUAAAAAAGCACCCCGAUACCCAAUCGAAGGAACAUCGAACCUGUACAUCGACCACCAAACCGGAUCAAAACGGCUGGCUUUUCAUACCCGGAGCAACUUUCUUCUUGCGGCUUCUGACACACUAAACUGACGCAACGCAGCGUGUGGCAAGUGUCUGCGGAGUGAUUCCCCGAUCCCCAUUCCUGCCCCAAAACAGUUGAACUUGCAACGCCCACGAAAAAAUUCAUGGAGGCAUGGAAUGCCCCGGCAUUACAACGAAAAUGAAGCAAGUUUUUAGCGCGGAGUGUGGGCUAUGACAAAGGGGUUCCCCAUGGGGCACAUGUCAAUUUCCCACGACACAGAUGCCUGGAAUACCCUUUUGCUAGGGUAUCACUUUCAAACCGAACACCUAAGAAAGAGUCGACCUUCUAUUAUCUAAGGUGUAACUACGCUCCAAGGAGUGUGGCAGAUGCCGAACCUAAACAAAAACGCAAAACAUGGCCCAAAGCAGAAAAGCGAAGCCAACAGAAAAUCCGAUCGACAGUGCAACGGCUGACAGAACCAGUUUAAUGGCACUUGAAAUUUCACCAAAAAAUCUGUGAAUCUCCAGGCCUAGGCAAGGAGGGGCAGGGACACGGGGGCUGUCCGGGGGCGUGGCAUGUUGAUUUGCUUAAAAAGAAAUUCACUUUCCUUCGACGGUUUUACUCUUUCAAAUUUCGUGUGCGAAUGCUUGCUAGUCGUUUCUGGAUUUUGCUUCGAUUCGACUGGAGACGAGUAUCUCUCUGCACGGAAGAUAAUUUUCUUAAUUUAGUAAUGAUAGUAACAAUAUUAUGCCCUCCGUAA